CCCUUAGAUGUUCUGGGCUGCACGCGCGCUACACUGAUGCGCUCAACGAGUUUACGACCUUGCCCGGAAGGGUUGGGUAAUCUUUUUAAAACGCAUCGUGAUGGGGAUAGAUUAUUGCAAUUAUUAAUCUUUAACGAGGAAUUCCUAGUAAGCGCGAGUCAUCAGCUCGUGCUGAUUACGUCCCUGCCCUUUGUACACACCGCCCGUCGCUACUGCCAACUGAGAUGGGUCCUGAAUUGUUAGGAACGCCCGUCAAGGGGCCUACCCGGUCCCUAGUGCGGUGACGAGAAUAACUGUAAAUGGCAUAUCUUGUAGGGAGUAAAAGUCGUAACA
This 333-nucleotide ribosomal RNA is filed under the name uncultured eukaryote. RNAcentral describes it as "partial 18S ribosomal RNA". It matches the Rfam family "Eukaryotic small subunit ribosomal RNA", at positions 1470 to 1796 of the family's 1831-position model. The record is from RNAcentral.